GACGAACGCUGGCGGCGUGCCUAACACAUGCAAGUCGAGCGGAGAUAUAUGGAAGGUUUACCGGAAAUAUAUCUUAGCGGCGGACGGGUGAGUAACGCGUGGGCAACCUGCCUCAUACAGGGGGAUAACACAGGGAAACUUGUGCUAAUACCGCAUGAAAUCAUAGUAUGGCAUCAUACAAUGAUCAAAGGAGCAAUCCGGUAUGAGAUGGGCCCGCGUCCGACUAGCUAGUUGGUGAGGUAACGGCUCACCAAGGCGACGAUCGGUAGCCGAACUGAGAGGUUGAUCGGCCACAUUGGGACUGAGACACGGCCCAGACUCCUACGGGAGGCAGCAGUGGGGAAUAUUGCGCAAUGGGGGAAACCCUGACGCAGCAACGCCGCGUGAAGGAAGAAGGCCUCGGUUGUAACUCUUUGAUAGGGACGAUAAUGACGGUACCUAAAACAAGACCACGGCUAACUACGUGCCAGCAGCCGCGGUAAAGUCACGUCGC
This 493-nucleotide ribosomal RNA is filed under the name uncultured bacterium. Its description in RNAcentral is "bacterial SSU rRNA". It matches the Rfam family "Bacterial small subunit ribosomal RNA", at positions 28 to 531 of the family's 1533-position model. The record is from RNAcentral.